Molecule: long non-coding RNA, 843 nt
Filed under: Vigna radiata
Lineage: Eukaryota; Viridiplantae; Streptophyta; Magnoliopsida; Fabales; Fabaceae
Description: long non-coding RNA (VRAD_LNC006098)
Source: RNAcentral
GGCAUAGAAAGUGUUGCAUAUAUUUUUUUAAAAUUUAAAAAACAUAUAUUAUGUGGAUUCUUCAUUAUAAUCAGUAUAUAAUCUUUAAUCUACCUUCUUCCCCAUUCUUCCCUCACGCUGCACUUGACUAUUCCACGUGUAAUGUUUUCCUCCUUACAUUACUCUUCUCCUUCGUACUAACUCUUAUCUUGUCAACUCUUGUUCGUGGCUCUCAUCUUCUUCCUAUCGCUGCACUUCAUUUUUGCUCUCGUCUUCUCCCUCUCUCUACAAUUGUUGUUCGCUCUCUUAUUCUCCCUUUCACUACACUUUGUGUCGCUCUUGUUUUUUCCCUCUCACUAGUGGUCGCUUUCGUUCUCCCAGAAGUCGCUCUCACUGUUGUUGUUCUUACUCUGGUCUUCCUUCAACCUUAAUAUGUUAUUGUGUUUAUUAGGCUUGUUGUUAGUAUUUAUUGGGAGAGUAUCACAGUGUGUUUAUUGUGUUUGUUAUGUUGAUAUUGGAGUCUUAAACCUCCUUGGCAAAGAAGUGUGUGACAAAAGUGGUAUUGAAGGUGAAAAAAGGGAAAAUGAGAAUGCAAACCUCGCAAAUGUGAACGAAGAGACGAAGGACACAGAGGAGGGAGUAAUUGGUAACGACGAUGAACAUGAGGUUGGGGUAAAUUGUGUCGCUUAGGGUAGAAUUAGGGUUUCAUGGAGAACUUGGGAAUGGAAUAAGAGUGAGAUUUUCUAUGUCAUUUGUAGCAUAACCAACAUAGAAAGUGAAAACUUUCUAUAUCAGUUAUAUCUAUGUCAGUUUCAUAACUGACAUAAAAAGUCUUUUCUAAUCGACAUAAAAAUUCUUCGCUAC